UGUACGAGCCUUUCCAGCACCUGCCUUGGAAAGGCCUGGACGUGGAAGCAUCUCUCCAGUACCAUGAGCAAGAUGAUGCAGUCGCUGUUAUUAAUUGGGAGUGUAGAAGAAUUCUUGAGAAAACCUGGUUGCUGUCUGUGAGCUGCUGCUAUGGCAACGGGCAUGGAUAAAAAGGAUAAACAAUUGAAAAAAGCAAAUGGGAAGAAAUUCCUGCUCCCAGGACUUUAAAAAUAUGUUUUGGUUCUAACUGGAUGCUGUACAGCACAAUAUUCUUCAAAGAAAAAUCAAUGCACAGAUAACCUCAUAUGCGACUAACUACUAACUUUUUCUAGUCUGACUGUGUCUGGGCAUUUCAUGUGAAUCACAGAAUCAUAGAAUGUCUUGGGUUGGGAGGGACCUCAAGGAUCACGAAUCUCCAAGCCCCCUGCCACAUGCAGGGCUGCCAACCUCUACAUUUAAUACUAGACCAGGGUGCCCAGGGCUCCAUCCACCCUGGCCUUGAACACUUUGAGAGAGGAGGAAGAGCUACAGCUGAAAGCCCUUGAAAACAAAGUUGGUUCCCCUCCCAAGAAUUUCAUUGUAACCAUUGCUUCCUCUCUAAAUGGAUUGUCAGACAACGUAUUGCAUGAUGUGGAACAAUCCUCUCAUUCUUCUCUCUACGAAAUUCCUUGCUCUAACUGAGCAAACCAAUUUUGCAAGUGUUUCCCCUCUGCGCAUUCCUGAUACAACUUCUAAAAUAGGACCUUCAAGAGCAUCCCUCCCUUGUUCUUCUGUUUCCUCAUACUGUGACCUCGUUUGACAGUUACUCUACCUUAUUGCCAUGUGAUGUUUAAAAGUAAAGAAAAUAGGGGCUGUAUUUUUUAUAUAUGUGGUUGGAGAUUUCUCCACAUAAGCCAACAGCUGCCAUCUGUGAAAGCAGCAGGUUCUUCUGCUUCCUUUUAAGGCACUGCACUUAGUUUUAAACUUCAUUUUUAGGAAACUAAGUAUAAUGGAAACUAAGUCAUAAGCAUUUCUGUUUUUUUUCCAGUAAAAACGAAAAUGUAAAACUGAACAUUAAAAAAAAAAUCAACCACUAAACUGAAUAACAGGAUUAUUUUUAAGCUAUGUCAUAAAAACAUCGAUAAUUUUUCAGUCAGUGAAUGCUUUCUGUACAGAUGAGAAAAUAAUUUGUUGUAUUUUGGCUCAAGAACAAAGAAUGUUUAACAUGCAUAUAUCUGAAUUUUAUUUCUCUCUAGAAUGAAAGCCAUAGAAAAAUAUGUACCUGAAAACGCAGCAAGAAUUUAAAUUCCAACUGCUUUUCUCUGCAAGAAACCACAUUUGACAUUAUACUUCAUCUUGAAAAACUUAGUGAAGUUGGCCGUAAAAUGAUAUGAUAUUGAAUGGUUUUGCCUCAUCUUAUUUUCUAAUCAGGUACAUAAAUCCUAAGUACGUUGUGCAGAUGCUGCUGCUAAGACUGAUUAGAAUUAAGGGCAACAUAAAAGAUAGUCUUGUAAAAUCAAGUGCAUUUGGACCUCUACACUGGAAAGACUGGGAAGCCAGGAAUUUAACAAGGAUCACCUUUCUCAGUUUCCUUUGACCAGACGUUUCAACAGGAAGAGCCUAGGAGGAAGAUGUUUAGAGAGGCUGAUGGAAAAUAAUGCAUAGAAAUGGCUGCAUCCAGAUUAAUCAGGUAUAUCUGGUAAAUAAGAUUGUAUUAGCAUAUACAUUCCAGCAAUGGGAGUUAUUUACUGCUUAAUAAGCACUGACAGUGGAGCCAGUCCAACGCUAUUGGAAGUCACAGUCCUUCAGUUAAGUCAUGACAGAUUGUACAGCACAUAACAAACUUGUGAUGGUGUCUAAAUUGGAGCUUUCAACUGCCUUUGAAUUACACAAAUGGAUAAUUGAAUGUAAUCAGGUAAACUUUUGUGGUUUUUAUACAACUGUAAUUGUGAUAAUGAUUCUUUGGACAACAUUUGAGAAAUCAAAUUGCAGACUUGUGGAGCUAAAAUCAUGAAGUUAUUGGAGGUCUUGCAAAAGGGGAGCUAUGCAUAUUUUUGUGCCCAGGCACUAUUGCUUGUUUCUGAAUUACUUUUCAUAGUGCACUUCCCAUUCUGCUUCCCUAAUUGCCUAUAGUAAAGGGUGUACUGGAUGUGGCUUCCUCCCUCCUCACGUAUGUAUUUUUCAAAGAGUGCAUCAUGUUCCUGCCCUGAGGUGAAUUCAUGUCUCAAAUUGUGCACUCAAACCAAGGAAGUAAAUAAAAGUACUCCUAAGUCUUUUGUUAUGUCUGUGAGAUGCUGUAGGAAUUGUUUCUGUUGGUUUGUGAUAAGAAGGAAGUACACAAGAACCUUACUAUUAGUAGCGUUAGAAUAACUAAUGCAAUAUGCUAUUGCCACCAAGCUAUCUUUAUUAUGAAUUCACUUGUUACUGGGGCUUCACCUGAAGUUUUUCCUCCAAAGUUUUGCUUAUUUGUUGAUGUUUAUUUGUUGACAUAUCCCUCAAGACUCCCUCUUUCCUUACAAGUAAGAAGUACUUUACUCUAGUUAUGACCCCAGGAAGGACUGGCUGAUGCUGAAGGAUGUCCUCUGAUUCCAGAGCUUAUCAGUAAAGACUGGUGGCGUUGUUCUCAGAGACUGUUGAGUUAUCUUCAGCAGCCAUUGGAUCCUUGGGUAAUUUCUACAGGCUACCAAGAAAGAGCAAUACUUCUGUGAGGGCUGAUCAUGACCAGAACUUAUCUGUGGGCUGCUGUAAUGAAUGCUGUUAAAAAUGAAUGCCAGCCACAAGCAUGAAGCCUUACAAGACAGGGAUUUGUCAUUAUGAGGAAAUGGAGUCAUUCUUUCUGUUACAAUAUUGAUGGAUGGGUUUAUGUGUGUGAGAAAUCUUUUAAAAAGUUGUUGGUUUUUUUAAGGUAAGAUGCAAUAUAAUGUGAAUGAUAUAUAUAGUUUGCGAGGAAUAUUUCCCUCUUUAUAUUCUGCCUUACAAGGAUUUUCUCCAUAUUUAGUUUUAAGCUAAUACUUCACUUUACAUUUAAGAACCUACAAUUUAUGUCAGGAAAAGCUUUUAUGUUUAUACUGUGCCAUAACUAAUAAUGAGGGUUAUGCUUUUGCUUUACCAGGCUUUCACAUUUGUUUAAUUUAGAAGUUACUUUACUAUAAAAGGAAGAGCUCUCUCUGGAUUUUAGCUAGUAUAAUUAAUGCUGUUUCACACCGAUGCACCAAUAUACAGAAAUUGAUUGUGCUCACAUGAAAAAUACAACAGAUUCUUCCUUGAUUUUCCAUCUUUUCUUUUGGUCAAAGGAGUAAAAUAAUGACAAGAUAAAUAUUUCUACAGAAGCAUACCAGCCAGAAGCGCACCAGCCAGAAGCACACCAAAGGGAAGUGCUGUCAUUAGAAGUGUGAGUUCGGUAUUUCAGUUAUGCAAUGAACAACAAACUAUCUUAGAUGCACUGUGAGUUCAGUAUGUCAAAUUAAAAACCAUUGAAAGUAUAUCUAUAGAUGUUACAAAAUGAACUAUUAUUUGGAAUCCCAAAGGUUGAAUUUUUCUAUUUUUCUGUCUGCUUCCAUUCUUGCUUGCCUCCAUUGUGUAUUUUCCCUUCUCUUUGCCAUCUUUUGGUGGAAAAAUCAAAAAAGGUAAGCAAACCUAUGAAAGGCAGGAAUGUGUUUAUGUUUUGCCUAUCUGAGUAAAAAACACUUCUACUGCUUUGCUUUUUGCAGCGUUCCCUAUUUACAUACAUUCUCUUGCUUUCCAUAUGACAGGUUUUCCCCAGGACUCCACAGAGAGAGGAUGGAAGAGGUGCCAAAGGGGCAACAGAUGGCCAUCCUGCCACAGCAGCAGAGCUGGUGUUAAUAUUUCUGGAGUGAAAACCUUAUCUUUAAGGACCCAUGACACGGAAAUGAAGAUGAGUUGUUCUUGUGACAAAGAAAGAGAUGAAUCUAUGCUUCUGGAAAACAUCUUUCACUCGCUUUAUUAUAACAAGGUGUGAUUGUUGCUUGGAGUUCUCAGGGCUAUCCCACCACACAGCAGCCUGCAUUCUCAGCUAUCUCCAUAUCAUAGAAAAUCUGUUCCCAUGAGCUCAGCAAAUGUUUGCAUGGUGGACUGGCAUAGACUGUAAGCCAAGAGCAAUAUGGGGAAGGGAGCAGAACUGAGCCAUGAAGAAACGCAAAGUACUUCAUGUAUGAGAGCCAACACAGCUGCAGGAACCAUAAGGAAUCAUCUAUGGGAGCUUGAGCGUGCAGUGAGAGCUUCCUCCCAGGGCAGUGACACUUGUCCCCAAAAUGAGGAGAGCUGCCAGGUUGGAGUACUGGGAGUGGAUGGAAGCACGUUUCUGACCCAGACAGCCAGUCUUGUGAGAGGCAGGGGAACUGAAGCUGCUCAGAUGUGAAUGUAACGAGCGAGGAGCAGCCCUAGAAUACACCCAGAGGGGCUUUCAGAUGGGAUUUGACCCUGCAGAGUGCCGGACCACGCGUUGCUGCAUUACUGUGUCUCCCAGCUGGAGAUGUCUGCUGCUUAUCUCCAGAGGUUUUUGCUCAAAUUAAAUGGAAAACCAAAUUAAACAAUGAUUUAAUUAAGUGGAAGAGAUGGAACGUGGAGGCAGACUUAGAAGGUGAAGAUCUGAAAGAAGCAUAUUCUUCCAAUCGCGACAUCUAACAGAUGUAAUCCUUCAACAGCAAAACAGAUUUACUGUCAUUUGGACCAUAAUGAAGAAACCAAUGGUAAGAAUUAUGUUACAAGAUAAAGAACUAAACUAAUGAAUAUAGCUGUACAAACCUGAAUAACACACUCCACAGAAGAGAUUAGAAGAAACAAAGAAUACAUUGUCAGAAAAAAAAUAUCAGGCAGUUAAGAAUUGCUACAUACUGAAAAAUGCUGAAAUACAGUGACAAAUUAAAUAAUUUUAUAGAAUGCAUACACACUUAUAGAACAAUUUUUUAAAAAUAAACCAGAUAGUGCACUGGGAUAUUGUUUCAAGGAUAACUGCCAUUGAAUGCAUAUUUCAAUAAUAAUCAUGUCAAUUUGUUCACAUUAAUUAGAUUUAUGGAUUGUGUAUGCAGAGAGCUAGAAAUCCCACGCAAGCAACAAUUACCUAUUAACAUUUCAUUUCAUGUUAGAUUAUGAAGAUAUACCUGUUAUGACAAGUUCACAGGUCUGUUUUGUAUGGCUGUUAAUUUCAUGAAGGUUCUCCAGCAGGGUUUGCAUCACCUCAAAUUAAACUUCCUGGCACUCUAGAUUGAAUAUAUCAUCUGUAAAGCCAUUUACAGUAACUAGUUCAUUGUUUUCUGAAUAGUUUUGCUGAAUUAGUUUGUUUGAAAUUGUUCUAACCUCCUGCAACUGGGCUAUGUGAUAUGGUAACAACUUUGCUUAGGGUCUCAGGUUACUGGAGCAGUAACGAUUGAUUGCAAAUUAAACAUUACUGUCGCAUAUAUUCAAUGCACAUAAAACCAGAAAAAAACUGUCCUCUUUUCAGAGUGGUGAUAUAUGAAAGAGCUUUUCCCACUACCUCCCACUCCCCAUUGCACUCUACUGGCUAUGAGGGUAUAGAGGUGGCUGGAAAGGAAAGAAGAUUCAUUCACGUUCACCAGGGUUAUUGCAUAAUUUUUACUGACUUCAAUGCAUCUCGUUGGCAUUUCCGCAGGCGUGUUGUUGAUCAUGAACCGAUACCAUGCUGGUGGCAAUGAGUGGUCACACACCAGGACCUGAGCAGACGUUCGCUGCAGCUCCAGCGAGUCAAACCUGGUGCUGCGGUAUGGGCUGCGGAGGAUGUGAUGUCCAGCUGGGGAGCACUCAGGAGCUGAAAGAUCAGCGAGCUAUGCACUGCUCCACAGAAGUAUGCAGAUAGAGGCAGCCAAGCAUCUCCUACCUGACAACCAAAAAGGUGUCAAGAAUGGCUAGCAGAGGAGGUGGCAACAACAAGUCCCUGCAAGAAAGGUGGGCAAAGUCUGGGGAACAGCUUGAUGUGGAGUUUGGAGCACUGUCACAAGAGGUGUGCUGCAAAGUCACACUGAGUGACUUGUGUCUAGUGGGUAUGGUGGGCAUGGAUUGACAGUUGGACUAGAUGACCUUAGUGGUCUUCCCAACCUUUCUGAUUCUAUGAAAGCAUUUUGUUUAGUGUUCAUUAAGCAGGAUGAGGGAACCAUGCUGCUUCUUUUGAUGACAAUACCACACUAGCAAACACCUGACCUGGCUUUCCAGCAGAAGUGUCUUCUGAAACCUUUCCAUCUCUGGGGCUCUCUGUGCUCUCUCUUAUCAGCAUAAAUUUGCCCACAAAUAACUGUGGAAUAAAUGGAAGGACACAUGAUCACUUAGAUAAAAGCUCUGUGUGGCUGUACAGGACGGGGAAAUUCUGUGGCUUCCUUGCUUUGGAAGGGUAGCCUCAUUUACUGAAUAUGCCAAUUAGAAAAAGCAACAAAGCCAAAUUGUGUCAAUUACUCUAUUAAACUUCACCAAGUCUCAUCGCCACUAAUUCUGGCCUGGCUUCAGAAUUCAGAGACAGGAAGGCUCCGCUUCUGAAUAUAGAAAUCACUACUGCUGUGUCAGAAGAGAAUUAAAAACCUCAUAAAUCUCCUCAAGUUAUCUUUAAGUUAAUGGGGAUGCCUUUAAGGACUUCUGAGCAAUCAAUAGGAAGAAAAUUAUAAUUAUUGUUAUUGAUUGGUCUAUUUUGCUCUCAUCACCCAGAAUGAAAAAAUGACACAAUAUGAAAAGGUUCUUUCUUACACCCUAAUCUCAGUUGAACAUACACUUGCAAAUGUAGCUUUCCUAAAUAGCAGUAGCAAAAACAAACUCACAUGUUUUGAUUUUAGAGCCACUGGGCUCUAUUCAGAUGGAAAUUUGAAUUCCAUGGUUUACCCCUUUGAGAAUUGGAGCUGUUUCCAUACCUAAACUGCAAUGCGGGCUAAUUACAAUUUGAGAGCCACACAUGGCUCUCUUGGUAAAUGCUGAGUUUUGGCGACAUUUCCUCCAGUUUAAUUCUGCAUACAGAUGAUAUAGCGUGGGGGAAUGUGUCACCACUAACUUAUUGUCCCUGAAUCCAGGAUGCAAGCAAAGACUGCCAGAAAGAUAAGGGGACACCAGAUGAAGGCAGCUGAGAGCUGCCAAACAUCAGAUUCCUGUGUAUGUCCUGGGUGUGAUUUAGAUCCUAAUAUAUGCAGGGUGACGAGGCAAUUUUUCCUGUUAUUUCUUUGUUACUAUUCAUCACUAUUAUUCAUUCAAUUCACCAGCACAACAGUGUUUUCAGCAGUCAAGUGCUCCUCACAUGUUUAUAAUGGGUUUUUCUGUCAGCGCUUUGAUAUUUAGGAAGAAUGGUUGGGUUUGCUCUUGCCUUCGCAGUAAGGCUGUAUUCGUUACUGUUCUGCAGCAAUGUUCUCUCUGUAAAUGGACAUGCUCUAUUUCCCAACUAAUGCACGUCCUAGAAGGAUCUAACAUCCUCCUGACCAAAACUCAGGUCUUACUAACCCUGCCUGUCUGUCUGUCUGUCUGCUCGUGGACUGGCCACUGCUUGAAACUUGGAGGGUUGUCACAGAACAGGCUCUGAGAGGAUGCAAAAACUCUUUGCAGGCAUUACUGCACUCUGGAUGGAUUUAAAAAUAUUAAAAUAAAAGGUCAUGAGCUAGAAAUAGUCAGAGGCAUGCCUAGUCUGUGAGAUAAUAUAAAGCUGUGUGCUCCCACCUGUGGAGUGUAACAUUAAUUCUACUUCUACGAUUUCCAUAAACCAAGUUUAUCAAUGAUCCUAAGUGUUUGUUCCUUCAGCCCUUGAAAGAUACAGUUUCUGUGCAUACAGCCAUAAUUAGCUUUAAUAUUAAAAUAAUUAGCAACUUCCUACUAUAGAAACAAGAUAGUUGCAGCUUCAGCCAGCAAUUUCCUACAGUCAUGUAUCUGGGGGGAAUCUUGCACGUCUGAUUUUGAAGAAAGCUUCUCAUUGUGCACCUAGCACUUGAAUGAGAUCUGUUGGCACUGGACCAUGCCAUGAAAGAGCGUGGCCUUAAGCACCAGUUCAUGAAAACUUCUCCAUAAAUACAUUUGCUCAUUUCAUUUACUGGAAUUUUGUCCCCACUCGCUGUUCUAAGAGGUACGCAUUUUGCUGGGUUAUCUUUGCUUUGGUUGUUCCACCAGAUCUCUGUUAAUUCACCAGGAGUAGCAGAAGCAUUCGUAAAUAUAGCAGGGUUUCAGGAAUCUGUAAAGAGUUCAGUGAUAAGCUGCUUUUUGAUAUAAAAGAAAAUCCAGUUCAGCUGGUGUCGGCUGAGCCUUCAUUACAUUUACAGCUGCUACCUGUGCAGUCUUUUAGGAUGUAAUUACCAUAAUAAGAAAAACAUCUCCAUAAUUAUAUGUGCGUAAAGCAAGAUGCCUUUCUCUGGGCAUCUUGCUAGAGCUGCAGAUACAGAUAUACACACUUGCAGGGGACACAGGGGAUUAAGGAGGCACAAGAAUAAAUACAAGACAAUUGUUGCCCCAUAUGGUGCAUAUUAUAGGCAGAUGUGUUUUGAUCAGGAUCAGCCAUGCAGAAGGUAAACUGACUGACUUUUUUCUCAUUUACACUGAACUAACUCUGAUCACAGCGUAGUUUCAUGUGGUUUAAAAUUUAUGCUUUCUUAAAAACAACUCAAAAUAUGGAGGGGAGAUUUGUGUCCUCAGAAUGUUUUCUGUGCUGAGAAAACCAGGCCAUCCUCUGGUGAUUAUCUGGGCUUUGUGGAGGCUUUGCAUGCAGGGAUGGGAUAGGAUGGAAUGGGAUGAGAUGGGAUAGGGUGAGAUAGAAUGGGAUGAAGAUUUCCCCCAUCACAGUCCACCAGUGCUUUAUGUAGGAGAUAAAGCAUGGGCACCUUGUAGUUCUUUAGAAAAUAAAUAAAAGAAAAUUAGAUUGAUAAGUGGAGUAUUCUUGAUGCAAACCACUCUCUUUUGUAGACUCUGAUAACACGGUAACGGAGAAGAUGAAUCAUAAUUUUUUAUUUCCAAGAAGCCAUUUCCAUGCUGAGCUUUCAAUUCUUCACCUCCUUCUUACUUGUAACAGUCAGUGUAGACUUUUAGCUUGUAAAAUAGAGCUGUACUUUUAUUGAAAAAGAUAGUUCAGAAAGCAGUGUUACUAAAGGAAGUAACCAGAGCCCAAUGCUUCCUCAAGUGGAGAUUUCAACAAAAAAUGUGAUCAGUGUAUCGCCACCCAUAGGCAAAACAAGGCACUUUUGUCAGCAGAUGUGCACAGUUUCAGGUUUUGUUCCAUCUUUCUAACAAAAGAUUAGCAAAAAACAGAUUUGAUUUUGCAUUCUUAUUUGGUAAUUGGCUAAUAACUGUAAUUUUCAACUUAAAAAGAUAGGCUAGAAACCAUUUUUCAGAAAAGCCCUACAACAUUACAAUUGAUCAAUUUUUCAUUACACUUGAUCCAUUCAGUUUACCACAGUCGUUUCAUUUGUAAUUUGAGCUUAAAAAACAUAUAUAUAUAAAAGGAAAAAAGAAAAAAAAUCUACUCAAGCAAUUUUAGAUUGGAAAGCCAUAACACAAAUUAGUACACAAAGAAACAGCAGGCGAUCAAUUUAUCAUUUGCUACUUUAUUCUUUAGCAAUUCGCAGUAAUUGUUGAGUCACUUUUGAAACUUGUAAAAUUUGAUUAUGUGAAACUUGGUAAAUGUCAGGCUUUGGUCAUUUCUGUCUUGUUUUUUAUGAGUUUUCUAGAGAACCAAGACUUUGUGAAGGUAGAUCCCUCUGGGACUGGCCAACACCCAGCACAAGUGCAUGUAGGUAAAAGGUAGCACAAAAGCCCUGGCAGUUCAGCCCCUCCUUCUCUUUCCCCUGCCUCCUACCCUUCCCCUCUUCCCCUCCUUUCCCUUUCCUCUCUCCUCUCUCCUCUUUCUUUCCUCUUUCCUUUCUUCUUUUCCCUUUCUUUCCCUCCUCUCCCUUCUCCCUGCCCCUCCCUCCCCCUCACACUGCAGACCAACAUCUCCAAAUCAGUGCAUGUCAGCUGUGGUCCCACGUGCACUCCUGACUAUCAUGUCUCUUACAGUAUCCACUGUGUGGGUGGGAUAUUGCAGAAAUGUGAUGAUGUUCUUAACCCUACCGUUUGAAAAACACACUUGUGAACCUGCUAAUAAAAAGGGUUUUGCAUGUGGCAGGAUGUGAGAAGCGGUGGUGCCACAUGCUGUUAUGCAGACCUUACACCUGUUCCCAUUUAUUCAUGGGUGACCUCAAGAGGGCUUUCUAUUUUUUAUUCUCCACACUGUUCGUUUUUCUGCAGUUGGAAAUGAGAAUCCCAUUAACCUUUUUGGCCUUGAUGUCAAAUUGAGCUGUAUGAAUAUUGUUUGCAGGCAUUGGGUAUGCUCAGAGACACACUGAAUGCACUCAGAGCACAGGGGACAGAGUGGAAGAGCAGCAGAGGAAAACAAACCAGCAAGAUAAAAGGAGAUGACUUGUGGGCAUCUUAUGCUGAGUUUGGGCUCUGCUGGCAGAUUUGGAACUGUCUGCUUUUCUCUGACCUGAAACCAGGUCUGUUGUGUGCUUGGGCAAUGUUCAAGCACUUGCGUAUCCCUUGGCAGAUCUCUCUCCCACUGCAGCUGCUCCCUUUUAUAUUGUUUUAACUAUAAAUAAGAACAUGCUGACUUUGCCAGCUUCCAAAACUGUUUCCCUUCCCUUUCUUUUAGCAAUUUCAGCAAGAAGAUCUACCGAAAUACCAAAAUGCUCCGCUGCUUCCUGAUUGCCCUGUGGAGUAGAAAUCAGGGCUCAUUUCUCCAUUCCAAAACAGAGUGUGAUACUAAGAAGUGUUUCUUCUUUGUUCUAACUAUACUGGCUAUAAUCAGACAGAAAAUGCCUCUCUCUCUUUUUUUUUUUUUUUUAAUUGGAUAAGAGAAUUUCUGGAAGAGGCACUUAGCUGUGCGAGAGGCUUUUUUAACAGAGAUGUCUGCAGAUAUGGAGGAAGGUGCAAAAUCCCUAAAGGGCAAGGUUAACCUGCUCCCAUUGGCUUUGGUCACAGUGGGGGAAUUCAGUCAUUUUCCUGCCCUCUUGGCCCACAAGCAUCAUGGAAAAUGGCUCUUCAUUGGCUAUCAAGGCUGAAUUGCUCCAGAGUGAUUCUGCAGCUGAUUGUGUUUGGCACGUUUCAAUCUCAGCAGUCCAAAACCCAGCCUUUCAUCAACAGAAGUAUGCACUACAAGGCUUAUCGUCUCUCACUCAAAGCACGUUGUGAACAGGUGUGUAUUUCCUUCUGACAAACACCAGAAGAACCAGCUCUUCUGCCUGCCAAGAACUUUCUUCCCAGGAAGAGUAACAGAAAGUUGAGCGAGGCAGUCACUCCCCUGACCCAGCAGCUUGGUCCAGCUGCCAUCACAGCUGCAGAGACCUGCAGAGAGCACUGAGAAAUGGGCCCUCCUGCUGCCAUCCAUCCAUGGGUGUCAGGCUCUCUGAAAGAAGACUGUGACAAGGUGGAAGUCAGCUGCUUCUCCCAGGCAACAGCAAUAGAAUGAGAAUUGAUGGCUUUCAGUUGCUCCAGGGAAUGUUCAAGUUGGAUAUUAGGAAAAAUUUCUUCACAGGGAGAGUGGUAAGGUAUGGUAAGGUAAGUACAGGCUGCCCAGGGAGGUAGUGGAGUCACUGUCCCACAGGUGGUCAAGAAAAGAGUAGAGGUUGCACUGAGGGGUUACAGACUUGGAUUGGUGGUUAACUAUAUGAUCUUAGUGGUCUUUUCAACCCUGAUAGUUCUAUGAUCUUGAAACAUUUCUGUGUGUAAUUAAAACUUCCCUGCCUGUUUCCAGAAACACAUUAAAAGCCUGUGGUUGACAUUUAUCUAGUUUUAUUCAUCUGGCUCUUGAAGUCAAAUUCAGAAACUAAUGCAUAAAUAUUACCCUUUCUGUUAAUUGUGAGUGCUUGCUGAAGGCGGAAACAAACAGCCAGUGCAUCAUUAGUGAAUAAGAGCAACACUGUGACUCUCUGCUGACACCAAACCAAAUAUUUCCUUACAGGGCUUAGAUAAAAUAGGUAUCUAUGUAUGUACUUGUUCCUUCUUUCUACAAAACGGCCAAUUGAUACCAACAUGUGUCUGUCCCACCCUGUUUUCCUGUAUUUCAUUCCUGACAUGUGGCUGAGACCAUCUGGGCUAUGGAAUCACACAGAAUCACAAAAUCACAAGGUUGGAAACGACCUGCAAGAUCAUCCAGUCCAACCACCCUCCCAUUCCUAUCAGUGCCAC
Molecule: long non-coding RNA, 12126 nt
Organism: Lagopus muta (rock ptarmigan)
Lineage: Eukaryota; Metazoa; Chordata; Aves; Galliformes; Phasianidae
Exons: 10
Source: RefSeq, a predicted model, not a curated record